This 202-nucleotide long non-coding RNA is filed under the name Mytilus galloprovincialis (Mediterranean mussel). Lineage: Eukaryota; Metazoa; Mollusca; Bivalvia; Mytilida; Mytilidae. The record is from RNAcentral.
UACUUAAAAAGCCAGCUAAUUUUAAAAGAUUCCUUCGUUUGCAAAAUAGUUUUAACACAAACUAGUGAAUUGAGAUGACUAGAAACGUGAAAUCUAGUAGAUUUGCGUGUAAGAAACAAUUGAAAAUGAAUAUUGUGUUAACUGUUAUAUUGUUUUCCUUUUUGCAAAAUGAAGUUAGAACGUUUUGGGAGAAUGACAUGAA